RNAcentral lists this transfer RNA (77 nucleotides) under Acidimicrobiaceae bacterium. RNAcentral describes it as "tRNA-Ala". It matches the Rfam family "tRNA". Rfam says of the family: Transfer RNA (tRNA) molecules are approximately 80 nucleotides in length. Their secondary structure includes four short double-helical elements and three loops (D, anti-codon, and T loops). Lineage: Bacteria; Bacillati; Actinomycetota; Acidimicrobiia; Acidimicrobiales; Acidimicrobiaceae. The record is from RNAcentral.
GGGGACGUAGCUCAGUUGGCUAGAGCACCUGCUUUGCAAGCAGGGGGUCGUGGGUUCGAUUCCCAUCGUCUCCACUA